RNAcentral lists this ribosomal RNA (479 nucleotides) under Geastrum velutinum. Its description in RNAcentral is "eukaryotic LSU rRNA". It matches the Rfam family "Eukaryotic large subunit ribosomal RNA", at positions 479 to 940 of the family's 3401-position model. The record is from RNAcentral. Lineage: Eukaryota; Fungi; Basidiomycota; Agaricomycetes; Geastrales; Geastraceae.
CUUUUCUGUUGKACGGGCCAGCAUCAGUUUUGGCCGCCAGAAAAAGGUGGGRGGAAGGUGGCACCUCCGGGUGUGUUAUAGCCUCUCAUCGUAUGUGGCGGCUGGGACUGAGGAACUGCAGCACGCCUUUAUGGCCGGGGUUCGCCCACGUAACGUGCUUAGGAUGCUGGCGUAAUGGCUUUAAGCGACCCGUCUUGAAACACGGACCAAGGAGUCUAACAUGCCUGCGAGUAUUUGGGUGGUAAACCCAUAUGCGGAAUGAAAGUGAACAGUUGGGACUUCUGUCAUGGAAGGCACCGACGCCCGGACCAGACCUACUGUGACGGAUCCGAGGUAGAGCAUGUAUGUUGGGACCCGAAAGAUGGUGAACUAUGCCUGAGUAGGGUGAAGCCAGAGGAAACUCUGGUGGAGGCUCGUAGCGAUUCUGACGUGCAAAUCGAUCGUCGAACUUGGGUAUAGGGGCGAAAGACUAAUCGAAC